This is a long non-coding RNA of Pan troglodytes (chimpanzee), 2065 nucleotides long. RefSeq lists it as uncharacterized. The record is from RefSeq and is a predicted model, not a curated record. The transcript is spliced from 8 exons. Lineage: Eukaryota; Metazoa; Chordata; Mammalia; Primates; Hominidae.
AUUAGCACCCAAGCAGGACCUGCUGAACCUGGGGCCCUAUAGGAGAGCACUGAUGGCCCACCCCUGAUUGUGGCCCUGGUCUUCAUGUCUGCAUCAGCCUCAGCCAUCUCAAGACCACAACGAGAACAUAGCAAAGUCAGAGAAGGAAGACCAAAAGCACCAGGGCCCUUCAUAUUAUUAAGCUGCUAAAUUAACUAAUCUUGGAAACUUCUAGACUCUACAAUUCUUGUUGUAUGAGAACUUCUAGCAACUAACCCUGGCAUGACCACCAGAAUCUGCAGGGCUGAGAGAAGAAAGAAAGGCAAAAGUGGAUGAAUGCAGCUGAAGAUGCUGUGGAACUCCUAUCACAUUCCAAGUGCUGUGUAGAUAUCUGGAGAUAUAGACAAGAUCGAAGCAGAUGCAGUCUUUCACAUGAAUAUUUGAAUCAGGCUCUUCCUGGAACAGCCUCCCAGCUUGGGUGCCUGACAACCUCAUUCAUUCUUCAAGCUUCUGUUCAAAUGCUACCUCUUCUGAGAAGGCAAUGCUUCCAGAGGUCUUGUUGGGAAUAAAAUUGGAAGCUGCUUUAUCAGGCUGUUGGAGAUUAAAGGAAAUAAUAUGUGUCAAGUGCUUAGAUAAAUGAUGGCACACAAACAGGACUGGGACAGCCUCAGCAAGGAAGAAGUGGAGAGUGGCUGUGCAGUAAGCAUCCGAUAAAUCCUCUGUAUGAUAAGCCCAACAGGUCAAGAGGUGAUUGCCAUUGAAAUGACACUUUGUUGAUCACAGUUCCCAAGCAGACAGGCAUGCCACACUCUGCAGGACCACACGGGGAAUCACUGGAGGACCACCCAUUCCCAAUGCUGUGGACAGUCUGCAUGCCAAGGCUCCGUGGGAAUUUUGGAGAAGCAACUGUUUUAAUUUCCAUUAUCUCUGUUGGUGCAGUCCCUACACUAGGAUUUGGCAAGCAUCAUGGUAAUUGAACCAAGGACCAUCCAGCAGACACCAAGCUGUCAUUGGACUCAUUCCUAUACAACCUUCACAGAGGACAUUUUGACCCUUUUUCUUUAUGAGAAGUGCCUCUCCUCAGGCUCACUCAUUCUCAGGUAAAGAGCCCUUUCUCACAUCCGGUCUGUUUGUUUUCCGGGUGUACAAAGCACGCACAUUCCUCAAUCCAAGUUUAGGUUCAAGAUGUGACUCUUGCUACAUGUAAAUUACAAAUAAGAAUCUACUUUGUGAGGCUGGGCGUGGUGGCUCACGCCUGUAAUCCUAGCACUUUGGGAGGCUGAGGUGGCCAGAUUGACUGAGCUCAGGAGUUUGAGACCAGCCUGGGCAACAGGAUGAAACCCCAUCUCUACUAAAACAUACAAAAAAUUAGCCGGGGGUGGUGGUGCUUGCCUAUAGUUUCAGCUCCUCGAGAGGUUGAGGCAGGAGAAUCGCCUGAACCUGGGAGGCAAAGGUUGCACUGAGCCGAGACUGUGCCACUGCACUCCAGCCUGGAUGACAGAGUGAGACUCCAUCUCAAAAAAAAAAAAAAAAAAAAAACUACCGUGUGGUAUUGAGAAUUAAAUGAAUAGUGUGUGUAUAUUGUGUGCAAUGCAUUUGGAAAGGCACCUGGGGAGAAGGAAGAGGGAUUCAAGGGAAGAGGCAGGAAGAAGCCCCAGAGCUGGUGUCUGAAAGGUGUCACACCAUAGCCUUGAUGCAUGACAGAACUCCAGGAUGCAUGUGUAAUGCACAAGAGGAAACUUCAGGGAGAGGGUUCACUCCAAGAUAAAAUGGCUGUUUGGUGCAACUAUGAGUGCUGGGCCAAGCCUGCCGCACUGACUUUCCUCAUUUAAGCGUGACCCAGGAAGAGCAAGAAAGUUAUCAUAUUGGGAAGAUUCUUGAAGAUGGGUCCAGAGACAUCCCAGUGAUGAACUGCUUGGACCUACCUGAGCCCAAAGUGAGAAGUUGCACAUCCCAGGAGAACGAAGGAAAAAAAUCUCCAAUUAAAAUUACAUUUUUCUUUUUCUUGGAAAAAUAAGACUUUGAAAUAGGAAUUAUAUAGUUAUAAACAAUAUUUAUCAUCCCCCCAUAAAAGAAAAAUAUUAUC